UACGUAGGGUGCGAGCGUUGUCCGGAAUUAUUGGGCGUAAAGAGCUCGUAGGCGGCUUGUCGCGUCGGAUGUGAAAGCCCGGGGCUUAACUCCGGGUCUGCAUUCGAUACGGGCAGGCUAGAGUUCGGUAGGGGAGAUCGGAAUUCCUGGUGUAGCGGUGAAAUGCGCAGAUAUCAGGAGGAACACCGGUGGCGAAGGCGGAUCUCUGGGCCGAUACUAACGCUGAGGAGCGAAAGCGUGGGGAGCGAACAGG
RNAcentral lists this ribosomal RNA (253 nucleotides) under uncultured bacterium. Its description in RNAcentral is "partial 16S ribosomal RNA". It matches the Rfam family "Bacterial small subunit ribosomal RNA", at positions 524 to 776 of the family's 1533-position model. The record is from RNAcentral.